RNA transcript from Impatiens glandulifera, 1586 nucleotides. RefSeq lists it as uncharacterized. The record is from RefSeq and is a predicted model, not a curated record. NCBI's taxonomy places the organism in Eukaryota, Viridiplantae, Streptophyta, Magnoliopsida, Ericales, Balsaminaceae. The transcript is spliced from 4 exons.
UUCUCUGCAGCAGCCAAUUCGUGAGUAGUCUCUCCAUUCAUCUCAUCUCUAUUUCUAUGUAUGUAAAAUAUUCAUCUCAAUCAAAUUCUACAAUUCUAGAUUUGUGUUAUCUGUGUUCCGAUUCAUCUCGAGUAUGCUCAUUGCCUCAUUCUUCCUCGCCUUCAAGCCAAACGCAAACGAGACACUUCAACUGCUCCAAUCCAUGUUUGACGUGCUUCCACACGAUAUCACAAUCGAAUGAAACGGUCGAGAUUGCGUCUUCAUCCGGCGGCUAGAGCUGGAUCAAUUGUUUCGUUAAAUCUGUUUUGUGGAUGUUCGAGUGAGUUGCGGAACUACCCGAUGGGUUACGUGAUGGGAGAGAGUGAUAGUAUUGAAUCUUUAGCAAUUAGAUUUGGGGUUAGUAUUGAAUCUGUUAAUGAAAUUGUUAAUUCUGAUUUCUGAUAAUGUUACUGUUGAAUUCCUUUAAAUUCAGGUACGUAUCAAUAUCAUCAUCUUUUUGAUUUCUUAAUCUAUUAUUGCUUGAUUGAAACAGAGUUUAAUGUUUUUAACCUUUUUUUGUUCAAAUGUUUGCAGUUCCUUUUAAACUUGUACCUGCAUAACUCUAGUUGUUUGAUUUCUUAACUCGGUCACACAUUUCAAGCUAAAAUAAUCAUUGUGUUGAACUUAUGGUUCUGUAAUAUGCAGUCUGGGAAACUUAUUAUUGAAGAUGAUGAUGACAAGGAUGACGAUGAUGAGGAUGAUGAUGACAAAGAUGAAGAUGACGUUGAAGAUAAAUUGUACAGAUUGAUUCAAAUUCCGGUCUCUAUUGUUCAAAUACACAUUUGUUUAAGACUGAGCUCUCUAGGGUUCUAUAUGAAAUCAAUAUUGAUGUUAAUUAGCUUUCAUGCUAUCAUAUUCUGUGAACUGUGUUUGAGAGAUGUCAGACAUUCAAAAGAAAUGAUUUCCUCACAAAAUUUAAAGAAUACUCAAUUAACUAAUUUGUUUUUCAAGUACAUGUAAUGAAGAAGAUUAUGUUUGACUAAAUGUGACAACAUUUUGAGAAGAUGGCAGGUCAAGUUGAUGCAACUAGCAGAUUAAAGCAAAGCAGAAGCGAGAAAAAGAGCAGGAAGGCAAUGCUUAAGCUUGGAAUGAAGUUCAUUCCUGGUGUCAGCAGAGUAACUGUGAAGAAGAGCAAAAAAACAGAUUUGGAGUUCUAAACUGCAACCCAUCAUCCAAAGAGUUCUUUCUGUUCAUUUUUUUGGAUCAUGUGGGUAAAGAGAUUAUGUAAAAAGAUAUAUGCCUGUCAUGGGGUUGCUGUUUCUUCAUUUAUUACCUGAUGAGUGUUGUGCAGCUCUUGAAAUAGAAGAUAAUACUACUAAAGAGAAGAGAGGAGGCUGAAAGUGAAAGCAAUCAUAAAAAUCUGUAAUUUUUCUUCUUCUUCUUCUUAUUAAUUUUUGAAUAAUAAUAAUAAUAAGAGAGAAGGAGAAGAAGAAGUUGUUGUCUGUUUCCUGAUUCUUGAAUGGAUCUGGUUGGUUGGUUAAGUAGUGAGCAAUGGUGACUGGAAAAUGGUAUAAGAAGAGGAGCUGUGUUUAAUGGGAGAAAUCAGG